RNAcentral lists this long non-coding RNA (365 nucleotides) under Brassica rapa (field mustard). RNAcentral describes it as "long non-coding RNA (BRAP_LNC007234)". The record is from RNAcentral. Lineage: Eukaryota; Viridiplantae; Streptophyta; Magnoliopsida; Brassicales; Brassicaceae.
GGAGAGUAGGAGCCACAAGCCUAACACAACCAAUAAAUAUGAAAGGGCAAUAACGACUUUUUGAAUAUGAACUUGGAGAAAGCCUCUCAGCUUUUUACGCUGAGAACUUUUUUUUUUCUUUUUUUACGCUGAGAACUUUCAUAUUGAGCCGUGUGUUUGGGUUGUGUAGAGAUAUGAAUAAAAAAUGUUUCUUAUAAGUGAAAAAGGGGAAAAAUGAUCGUAAAAAGCGUGGAUGGUUUCUCUAGGGCUUCACUGCCAUUUCCCAGGCCAUGCUAUUAUAAUAAGGUCAUGGGGGCCAGUGUUUGACGUACAAAAGUCUAAAAAAACUGUCAGGCCAAACAGGUCCAAAACUUAGUAAAAAAAUA